RNAcentral lists this ribosomal RNA (465 nucleotides) under uncultured bacterium. RNAcentral's name for it is "partial 16S ribosomal RNA". It matches the Rfam family "Bacterial small subunit ribosomal RNA", at positions 28 to 507 of the family's 1533-position model. The record is from RNAcentral.
GACGAACGCUGGCGGCGUGCUUAACACAUGCAAGUCGAGCGAGGCCCCUCCUUCGGGAGGGUGUCCUAGCGGCGAACGGGUGAGUAACACGUGGGCAACCUGCCCUCAGCUCUGGGAUAACUCCGGGAAACCGGGGCUAAUACCGGAUACGACCUCCACGGGCAUCUGCGGAGGUGGAAAGUUUUUCGGCUGAGGAUGGGCCCGCGGCCUAUCAGCUAGUUGGUGGGGUAGUGGCCCACCAAGGCGACGACGGGUAGCCGGCCUGAGAGGGCGACCGGUCACACUGGGACUGAGACACGGCCCAGACUCCUACGGGAGGCAGCAGUGGGGAAUAUUGCGCAAUGGGCGAAAGCCUGACGCAGCGACGCCGCGUGAGGGACGAAGGCCUUCGGGUUGUAAACCUCUUUCAGCAGGGACGAAGCGAAAGUGACGGUACCUGCAGAAGAAGCACCGGCCAACUACGUG